RNAcentral lists this long non-coding RNA (2775 nucleotides) under Homo sapiens (human). RNAcentral describes it as "HSALNT0330568". Lineage: Eukaryota; Metazoa; Chordata; Mammalia; Primates; Hominidae. The record is from RNAcentral.
CCUCCAGAGCUCAGUUUAGAGACCUCCAGAUAUUAAACGGACUUCCUACACUUAGAUUACUUGCUUAACAUCAAGUAUUAAUAUGAAUGGCUGGCAUCUGACUCUAAGCCUUGUAAGAAUAGGAACUGAGUCCAACCCAUUCGCUGCUGUGCCACCAGUUCCCAGCACAUGCCUGGCACAUAGUAGGUACCCAAUAAAUAUUUGUUAAAUGAAUGAAUAGUCCUCUCAGGAAACAGAUAUUUUAGGCCAUUUGAAUUUUUCUCUGAUGAUCUUGUAUUCCCCAGUUUUUUCUCCAAUGAUCAUGUAUUCUUUGUGCAGUUUUUAAAAGGAAGAAUUUUAUUUAUUUAUUUUUUCCAAAGUUGCCCCGGCUCCCCUGAAUCUUGUGCUGAGCCAGCCUUGGUUGCAUGCACUCAGCAGAAACGAGCUCUUUCCCUCCCCAGAGCAGGAGGUGGCGAGGUGAAGGUGCACUGUACUGGGGUGGCACUAAGACCCUUGCACAGCACUGCUGGCAGCCAGCAAUCUCUUAGAACUGGCAGAUGUGCUCAAUCAGAUUAGUUUCCUCCUCCCCUCCUCGCUUUUCAAACCUUUCAGAGCUCUGCUACCAGGCCCAAGAGGAUUAUCCUCCAAUGGAAGGCACCAGGGAUUACUGCGGAAUCUGAUUUCACCUGCUCCCUCUGCUUCCUGGGAACGCACACGGCAGGCCACAGCCAGGCAGUGCUGGGUCUGAAUCCUCAGGAGUUUGCCCUGGACCUACGAGCACUAAACUCGACAGGCUGCUUAUUUGCUUAUGUUGUAGGACCUUGUCCCACAUGAAGAUAAAAUGGUGCUGCAGAAUGGAAAGUGCUUCACAAGCCCCCGGCACACAGAAUGGGCUGUGCUUCGAGCUGGUCAUGCACUUGCUCGUGGCAGGAACCUUCUAGGUAGGUUCUUUACAAUCCUCAGAGGCUCAGAGAAAAAGCUGAUGGGAGAACUCAGCUUCUACACCCAGAAGCAGACUUCAGAGUUAACCUGGGCUUGGCCUGGCCAGCAGUUAAAAAGCAGCCAGAAAAGAUUUUAUGAGUUUCCUGAUGCUGCACGUGCCUGGCAGACAUUUCCUCCCUUCCUCCUGGGACUGUGAGUGGGGCUGGCCCCUUGUCCCCAGCGCUGCCACCACCAAGCACCGUUACUCAGCUGCUUCCUCCUUAUCGACAAACUGCACAGGCAACAGAUGCCUAGAAGACUUCAGGCGAGUCCCCUGGGAGAGGCUGGGAACAGAAUUCUGAGUCCUUCCAAGCCAGACAAUAGCCAUGGAAUCUCUGACUUCUCUGAUGCACUUUUGAUUUCGAAAAUUUUCAAAUCAGAGAAAAGAUGAAAGACAACAAUGAACACAUAGGACCCUUCACCAGAUUCUGCCCUUGCUGACCCUGAUCCAUGUGUGCUCUGUCUAGGUGUAUUCUGUCUGUAAAUACUGGUUUUGUUAGACCAUUUCUAGUCAAGUUGCAGACGUGACAUGCCACCCCGAACACUUCAGCAUCCGUUCCUGAGGUCAUUUUCCUACAAAUUGUAAUGUUAUUAGCAUUUCUAAGACAUGAACAUUAAUGCAAUCACAUUUUCUAAUAUUCAGUCCACAUCUGACUUUCUCCAGGGGUCCUAAAAAUGCCUUUUAUAACCUUUGUUUUGUGUUUUUGGAUCCAGAAUCCAAACUAGGUUCACACAUGGAGUCUAUUACCGCUGAAGUCCCCUUGUUUCGUUUGCUUUUCAUGACACUGACUCUGGGAGAAUCUAGGCCAGUUGUCUUGUAAAAUGCUCCACAUUCUGGAUCUGCCUGAUUGUUUCCUCACAAUUAGAUGCAGGUCAAACAGUACAGGCAAGCAAAUGACAGAAGCUGUUCUGUCCUUCUCACCCACUGGACCAUAGCAGGAGUCCUAGGAAACGUCACUUUGUCCUGGCUUAUGUUAGAUCACUUGAUUAAGGUGGUGACACGAGACUGCUCCAGUUCAAGUUAUUGAAGGCAAGAAAGGUGCUUCCUACUCUUGGCAAAAAAAGGCACUGCUCAUACGCCCAGCAGACAAGCGUCUUUCUGAGGAACCAGGGGAGACAGAUUUUGAGCAAUUGAUGGAGAGGGUGUGAAACUACUCUGAGGGCACCAUGCUCUGGCAGGCUGUUUUUACUGUGUAAGGCAGUGCAGCGGGCAGUGCCCACACUCUGAUGAUGACUGUCCUGGAUUCUACGGAGUGGCAGCCGCUUACUAGCCAUGUGGUCUGGGGGCUGCAUCUCCAGUCUCUGGCACAGAGGCCUUGAUAAAUAAUCAACGAAUGGAUGGAAGGACGGAUGGAUGAAAGAAUGAAAGCAAGCCCAUUUCUGACAGGCUGAAUCAAUUCCUGAGCCCAGUUUUAAAAAGAGACCAGAGGUGAGGUUGUGGGUGGUUGUUUUCUUUAGGAGGAAAUUGUGAAAAUGCCUUCUAGGUCAGAGGUGGCAUUCGGCCAGCUGGGUCACCCACGGGCUUCCCUUCUUGCUGGGAGGACUUCCCUGUGUCAGGAAGGAGAAACUGCUGUGAUGACAUCACACUGCGGCCUCAGGCAACCCCUGGUUCCUUUGUGCUCCGCUUUACACGUGACCCAAAUAAGUGUCACUGACUGAAAGCAGGGCCUGCGGGGUGGGGGCCAUUUGUCACCCGAAUAGCUGGCAUCUGGGGCCUGCAUCCCACAAGUGCUUCUGUCCUCGUACGGAGGAUAGGAGUUAUCUCCUGUCACGAAAGAAGGUUUCGGUGUCACUGCUUUAAAGAAAGCUCACUCC